UAACCUUAUAAACAAACAGUUGUUUAUUUAGAGUUAUUUAUUAUUGUUUUCUCAUAUUUUGCAAUUGUUAAGUUGGUUUACUUCGAAUUUAAUAUGCAUUACUGUGGUAUUUCUCCAGUUUUCUAAGAAGGUUGGUGAUUUUGAAUUGGGAUUAUGAUGAAUUUAACCCAAAGGCAAUGUGUGUUUAUUUAUGUGGCAAAAUUCCAGGCACCAUAAAAAUUUGAGUUUCUUCCUGUUGCCCAUGGAUGAAAAUCGGUUUGCAGAAUGAAAAGAAAUUGUUCAAUGUGAUAAACUUUCUAUGAACAGUCCUCAAUAUUGUUACAUUAACUUUUAAAUAUGCACUUUACAUCUUGAGGAGCAGGCCUUUGCAGAAAUACUGAAAAGCGGGUUGCAAAACAACGCAAAAUAAAAUAAACGAAAUAUGUCUUGAGAUUAAACAUUCAAGUUGAAGGUGUGUUCUUUCUUAAACUGGAAUGAUAAUUUUGUAAUUCUGUAGGCACAUCUAUUGAGAAGUUACAACCAGUGGCAAAGUGCCUUAAGGGAAUCUAUGACACAUAUAACUGAAGGUAUCAGCAUUGGCUCUACAGCCCAUGGUGGGUCUUGGCCUGUUCCAGAAUCAGCUUCCACUCUUUCCUAUCCUUUGCUUGGCUUUCCAAUUUCUCACUCGAGCAUGAAUUUUUGGUAUAUAUGGGAUUAUAUUGUGAUAACGACCAGAUCUAUGAAAGAAUAGUAUGUUGUUAAAGAAGAUUGUGGUGACACUAUUCAUGAAUAUCUAAUAAUAUUGGUUAAUGUGAAUGGAGUCCAAAAUGGGGUUUAGGCUGUUAUAUAAAAAACUAGGUCAUUAGCAUAUGGAAGUAGGGUGACAUUAUCUGGUAUUAAAUUAUGUGA
This is a long non-coding RNA of Diabrotica virgifera virgifera (western corn rootworm), 888 nucleotides long. RefSeq lists it as uncharacterized. The record is from RefSeq and is a predicted model, not a curated record. Lineage: Eukaryota; Metazoa; Arthropoda; Insecta; Coleoptera; Chrysomelidae. The transcript has 3 exons.